This 571-nucleotide ribosomal RNA is filed under the name uncultured fungus. Its description in RNAcentral is "eukaryotic LSU rRNA". The stretch from base 196 to 349 matches the Rfam family "5.8S ribosomal RNA". The record is from RNAcentral. Lineage: Eukaryota; Fungi.
UCCGUAGGUGAACCUGCGGAGGGAUCAUUACGCAAAUAUGAAGGCGGGCUGGAACCUCUCGGGGUUACAGCCUUGCUGAAUUAUUCACCCUUGUCUUUUGCGUACUUCUUGUUUCCUUGGUGGGUUCGCCCACCACUAGGACAAACAUAAACCUUUUGUAAUUGCAAUCAGCGUCAGUAACAAAUUAAUAAUUACAACUUUCAACAACGGAUCUCUUGGUUCUGGCAUCGAUGAAGAACGCAGCGAAAUGCGAUAAGUAGUGUGAAUUGCAGAAUUCAGUGAAUCAUCGAAUCUUUGAACGCACAUUGCGCCCUUUGGUAUUCCAAAGGGCAUGCCUGUUCGAGCGUCAUUUGUACCCUCAAGCUUUGCUUGGUGUUGGGCGUCUUGUCUCUAGCUUUGCUGGAGACUCGCCUUAAAGUAAUUGGCAGCCGGCCUACUGGUUUCGGAGCGCAGCACAAGUCGCACUCUCUAUCAGCAAAGGUCUAGCAUCCAUUAAGCCUUUUUUUCAACUUUUGACCUCGGAUCAGGUAGGGAUACCCGCUGAACUUAAGCAUAUCAAUAAGCGGAGGAA